RNAcentral lists this ribosomal RNA (774 nucleotides) under uncultured Neocallimastigales. RNAcentral describes it as "partial large subunit ribosomal RNA". It matches the Rfam family "Eukaryotic large subunit ribosomal RNA", at positions 18 to 645 of the family's 3401-position model. Lineage: Eukaryota; Fungi; Neocallimastigomycota; Neocallimastigomycetes; Neocallimastigales. The record is from RNAcentral.
UCAGACGAUGCGUCAUGCAUAUCAAUAAGCGGAGGAAAAGAAACUAACAAGGAUUCCCCUAGUAACGGCGAGUGAAGCGGGAAGAGCUCAAAUUUGAAAUCUUAAAGGGUUUCCCUUUACGAAUUGUAGUUUAAAGAAGUGUUUUCUGUUGAGGUUUUGGUAAAAGUUCUUUGGAAUAGGACAUCAUAGAGGGUGAGAAUCCCGUAUUUGACCUUUACUUUCAACUUUGUGAUACACUUUCAAAGAGUCGGAUUGUUUGGGAAUGCAGUCCAAAAUGGGUGGUAAAUUUCAUCUAAAGCUAAAUAUUGGCGAGAGACCGAUAGCGAACAAGUACCGUGAGGGAAAGAUGAAAAGAACUUUGAAAAGAGAGUUAAACAGUACGUGAAAUUGUCAAAAGGGAAGCGUUUGACACCAGUGUUGUUUUCUCGAAAAUCAAUUAAAAAUGGCUCGAUUUUGUAUUGCUGAGACCUUAAAAGCUCACUAUACAUUUUUCGUGUCUUUUUUAAUGCACUUUUCGUUUAACAAGUCAACAUCAGUUUCUUUUGUUGUAAAAGGGUCAUUGGAAGGUGGCUUUCUUUUCGGAGAAAGUGUUUAUAGCCUUUGGCCUCUGCAAUCGGAGAGACUGAGGUCUGCAGCGUAGAUCCUUCGGGGCUAAAUGCAUUUGUGCUAAGUUAUAGCAUUUUAUAGACAACUUGUUGACUAUGAUUUGUCUUGUAGCUUACUCGCUUAUGUUAUUUUACCUACGCUUAGGAUGUUGAAGUCAUCGUAUCGCGC